CCUACGGGUGGCAGCAGUGAGGAAUAUUGGUCAAUGGGCGCGAGCCUGAACCAGCCAAGUCGCGUGAGGGAAGACGGUCCUAUGGAUUGUAAACCUCUUUUGUCGGGGAGCAAAAGACGCAACGCGUGGCGUUCCGAGAGUACCCGAAGAAAAAGCAUCGGCUAACUCCGUGCCAGCAGCCGCGGUAAGACGGAGGAUGCGAGCGUUGUCCGGAUUUAUUGGGUUUAAAGGGUGGGCAGGUGGAAGAUCAAGUCAGCGGUAAAAUUGAGGGGCUCAACCUCUUCGAGCCGUUGAAACUGGUGUUCUUGAGUGAGUGAGAAGUAUGCGGAAUGCGUGGUGUAGCGGUGAAAUGCAUAGAUAUCACGCAGAACUCCGAUUGCGAAGGCAGCAUACCGGCGCUCAACUGACGCUCAUGCACGAAAGUGUGGGUAUCGAACAGGAUUAGAUACCCGAGUAGUC
Molecule: ribosomal RNA, 459 nt
Filed under: uncultured bacterium
Lineage: Bacteria
Description: partial 16S ribosomal RNA
Rfam family: Bacterial small subunit ribosomal RNA
Source: RNAcentral